CAUAUGAUACAAAUGCAAGCUUGAGAUUAUGCUUGUAGAAAAGAUCUUAAUGCUCAAAGAUUACACACUUUAGUAAGAAGAAGUCCUCUUCAAAUUAAUUAAAGAAAAAGUUUUCUAAGAUUUUUGACAAAGGAUAGAAUAAAAGAGUCAACUUUGAGACACUUGAGCCAACAAUAGCAUACCUCAAGAAAAUUUGCACAACUCAUG
This 207-nucleotide long non-coding RNA is filed under the name Elaeis guineensis (African oil palm). Its description in RNAcentral is "long non-coding RNA (EGUI_LNC073425)". The record is from RNAcentral. Lineage: Eukaryota; Viridiplantae; Streptophyta; Magnoliopsida; Arecales; Arecaceae.